RNAcentral lists this ribosomal RNA (554 nucleotides) under uncultured bacterium. RNAcentral's name for it is "partial 16S ribosomal RNA". It matches the Rfam family "Bacterial small subunit ribosomal RNA", at positions 355 to 900 of the family's 1533-position model. The record is from RNAcentral.
UAGGGAAUCUUCCACAAUGGACGCAAGUCUGAUGGAGCAACGGCCGCGUGAGUGAAGAAGGUUUUCGGACCGUAAAGCUCUGUUGUUGGUGAAGAAGGAUAGAGGUAGUAACUGGCCUUUAUUUGACGGUAAUCAACCAGAAAGUCACGGCUAACUACGUGCCAGCAGCCGCGGUAAUCGUAGGUGGCAAGCGUUGUCCGGAUUUAUUGGGCGUAAAGCGAGCGCAGGCGGAAGAAUAAGUCUGAUGUGAAAGCCCUCGGCUUGACCGAGGAAUUGCAUCGGAAACUGUUUUCUUGAGUGCAGAAGAGGAGAGUAGAACUCCAUGUGUAGCGGUGGAAUGCGUAGAUAUAUGGAAGAAUACCAGUGGCGAAGGCGGCUCUCUGGUCUGCAACUGACGCUGAGGCUCGAAAGCAUGGGUAGCGAACAGGAUUAGAUACCCUGGUAGUCCAUGCCGUAAACGAUGAGUGCUAAGUGUUGGGAGGCUUCCGCCUCUCAGUGCUGCAGCUAACGCAUUAAGCACUCCGCCUGGGGGAGUACGACCGCAAGGUUGAAAC